Molecule: ribosomal RNA, 630 nt
Filed under: Pleostigma frigidum
Lineage: Eukaryota; Fungi; Ascomycota; Eurotiomycetes; Pleostigmataceae
Description: SSU rRNA
Rfam family: Bacterial small subunit ribosomal RNA
Source: RNAcentral
AAUAUUGGUCAAUAGCCUAACGGCUGAACCAGCAACUUGGAAGAAUGUAUAACGAAUAAGUCGUAUAAAAUUCUAGGUAGAAGAAUGAUAGUGACAAUUUUCUAUCUAUAAGUCUUGACCAAAUUACGUGCCAGCAGUCGCGGUAACACGUAGAAGACUAGUGUUAUUCAUCUUUAUUAGGUUUAAAGGGUACCUAGACGGAAAAUCAAGCCAUAAUAGGGACUAAUUUUCUAGAGUUUUAUGAGAGAAGGGGUGAAUUUCCGGAGGAAAGUUGAUAUUUAGUGAUACUGGAAGGACGGGUAACGGCGAAGGCAACCUUGUAUGUAAAAACUGACGUUGAGGGACGAAGCCUUGGGUAACGAGAAGGAUUAGAUACCCUAGUAGUCCUUGGAGACAAUUAUGAAUGUCAUAGGCUAGAUAAUUUAGCCUAUAAAUGAAAGUGUAAGCAUUCCACCUCAUGAGUAAAGCGGCAACGCCCAAAUUGAAAUCAUUAGACCGUUUCUGAAACCAGUAGUGAAGUAUGUUAUUUAAUUCGAUGAUCCGCGAAUAACCUUACCACAAUAUGCAUUGAAUAUUAUUCAAUUAUUACAAGCGCUGCACGGCUGUCUUCAGUUAAUGUCGUGAGAUUUU